This 437-nucleotide unclassified non-coding RNA is filed under the name Hevea brasiliensis (rubber tree). The record is from RNAcentral. Lineage: Eukaryota; Viridiplantae; Streptophyta; Magnoliopsida; Malpighiales; Euphorbiaceae.
CUGAGCUUAUGGAUCUCUCUUCUUCAUUCUUUAUUGCGUUUAUCAUUACAGCAAUUUGAGUUACGUUUGGCCUUUCAUUUGGAGAAGGAUGUACGCACUUCAAAGCUACCUGUAACAAGUUCACCAUCCUCUCUUCGCUUGCACCUUCUGAGAUCAAGGCCUUGUCAAAAACUUCAACAGUCCAUUCCUCUCUAACGACUGAGUGCACCCAACUUGCCAAAUCAAACCCAUUAUUUUGGAUUAACUUCCCUGUCAGAAGCUCAAGAAGAAUCACACCAAAGGCAUAGAUGUCAACCUUGAAUGUGCUAUAUAUGUUAUCUCUACUCAGAACAUUGUGUUUGUAACUAUCUAUUUGAGAAAGGAUUGAUUGGUCUUGAUUUUCAACCACCAUUAGACCAUAUUCACUGAUGCAGGGCUCCAUAUUCCUGUUAAAUAAG